Molecule: long non-coding RNA, 1238 nt
Organism: Procambarus clarkii (red swamp crayfish)
Lineage: Eukaryota; Metazoa; Arthropoda; Malacostraca; Decapoda; Cambaridae
Source: RefSeq, a predicted model, not a curated record
UCCUCCCUCUCUCCCGCCAGAUUCGUGCGCCUUUGACCUGUGCAUGAUCAGCAAAGGCGCCAGACCCGGAGAAGGACACUGAGAAGUGGCUGGGUGAGGUGAAGGUCAUGGCUCAGGAGCGAGUCUUCAUUGAGACUAUGGUUGCGGAGUGUGACAGGAAGAAGGGUCAGUGUGAGGACCUGCCUAAGGAGGUCGUAACGACACCCAACCCCUGUACGAAUCCCAUCGACUUGAUCUUUAAUCCGGGAUGUUUGGGACUGAAGUAAAUUCGGGACUUCCUCAACAAUUAAAACCACCACUUCUUCCUGAGACGGAUGAGCUAUUGACGGACCACAUGGCGUCGGGAAGCUCGCAAGUGGGAAGACCGAAGAGAUGCUGUAAUAUUUAGAUACAAGCCCCUGUAAUAUUAGACCAAAGAUCCGUAAGGUGCUGUAAUAUUGGGAUACAAGCCAAUUCAUUGCUGUAAUAUUAGGAUACAAGCCAAUAAGGUGCUGUAAUAAUUGGAUACAAGCCAAUUCAAUGAUGUAAUAUUAAGAUAUAGGCCCAUAAGGUGCUGUAAUAUUGGGAUACAAGCCAAUGCAAUGCUGUAAUAUUAAGAUACAGACCCAUAAGGUGCUGUAAUAUUGGGAUACAAGCCAAUGCAAUACUGUAAUAUUAAGAUACAAACACAUGGGGUGCUGUAAUAUUAGGAAGGAUUCCAAAGAGGAAUUGUAAUAUUAGGAUACAAGCCCAUAAGGUGGUGUAGUAUUAGGAUGCAAGUCCAUGAGAUGCUGUAAUAUUAGGAUACAGAUCUAUAAGGUACUGUACUAUUAGUAUAUAGACACAUGAGUUACUGUAGUAUUAGUCUGCAGGCCCAUGGAGUGUUGAACUCUUAGAAUACAUGUUAAUGGGGUGAUGUGUAGUAAUGGUACAUAUCCCUCAUUAGCACAUAUAAUCAAGUGCAGCCUCCAGCCUGUGUGCUUCUGAAAAAAUACUGUUUAAGUGGCCUAACCAAACCUAACAUUAACUAACCUAAUCUAAAGUGUAAAUGCACAUGUCAGCAUCAUAUUAGCGGAGAGCGCAUUCAUAUUGCAAUUGUUUUCGUUAUAUAGUCAGCAAUUAAUGUGAAAGUUUAAAUACUUUUGUUCAAUAAAGUUAGAUAUUUCCUCUUAAUAUCGGUCUGCAAGAUUCUGUCACCUCAUAAUGUUUAUAUACAGUUAUAAGUGAAGUUUCUCUUUCUGUAAAAUGCAAUUUGAAAA